UACGGAGGAUCCGAGCGUUAUCCGGAUUUAUUGGGUUUAAAGGGUGCGUAGGCGGCCUAUUAAGUCAGGGGUGAAAGACGGUAGCUUAACUAUCGCAGUGCCUUUGAUACUGAUAGGCUUGAAUGUACUUGAGGUAGGCGGAAUGUGACAAGUAGCGGUGAAAUGCAUAGAUAUGUCACAGAACACCAAUUGCGAAGGCAGCUUACUAAAGUAUGAUUGACGCUGAGGCACGAAAGCGUGGGGAGCGAACAGG
Molecule: ribosomal RNA, 253 nt
Filed under: uncultured bacterium
Lineage: Bacteria
Description: partial 16S ribosomal RNA
Rfam family: Bacterial small subunit ribosomal RNA
Source: RNAcentral